This 460-nucleotide ribosomal RNA is filed under the name uncultured bacterium. RNAcentral's name for it is "partial 16S ribosomal RNA". It matches the Rfam family "Bacterial small subunit ribosomal RNA", at positions 338 to 795 of the family's 1533-position model. The record is from RNAcentral.
CCUACGGGAGGCAGCAGUGAGGAAUAUUGGUCAAUGGGCGCGAGCCUGAACCAGCCAAGUAGCGUGAAGGAUGACUGCCCUACGGGUUGUAAACUUCUUUUAUAAAGGAAUAAAGUGCUGCACGUGUGCCUUUUUGUAUGUACUUUAUGAAUAAGGAUCGGCUAACUCCGUGCCAGCAGCCGCGGUAAUACGGAGGAUCCGAGCGUUAUCCGGAUUUAUUGGGUUUAAAGGGAGCGUAGAUGGGUUGAUAAGUUAGUUGUGAAAGUUUGAUGCUCAACCGUAAAAUUGCAAUUGAUACUGGAAGUCUAGAGAUCAGAUGCGGCAGGCGGAAGGUGUGGUGUAGCGGUGAAAUGCAUAGAUAUCACACAGAACACCGAUUGCGAAGGCAGCUUACUAAGCUGCAACUGACAUUGAUGCACGAAAGUGUGGGGAUCAAACAGGAUUAGAUACCCUAGUAGUC